Molecule: ribosomal RNA, 1792 nt
Filed under: marine metagenome
Description: bacterial LSU rRNA
Rfam family: Bacterial large subunit ribosomal RNA
Source: RNAcentral
UCCGAGCCUUUUUUAGGGUGAGGGCGUACCUUUUGUAUAAUGGGUCAGUGACUUAAUUUAUUAAGCAAGCUUAAGCCAUCUAGGUGUAGGCGCAGCGAAAGCAAGUCUUAAUAGGGCGAUUAGUUUAAUGAAUUAGACCCGAAAACGAAUGAGCUUACCAUGAGCAGGUUGAAAGUUGGGUAACACCAACCGGAGGACCGAACCAGUUGACGUUGAAAAGUCUUUGGAUGACUUGUGGUAAGGGGUGAAAGGCCAACCAAAUUCGUAGAUAGCUGGUUUUCCGCGAAAACUAUUUAGGUAGUGCGUUGAAUAAAUAGAUGUUUAGAGGUAGAGCACUAAAUGGGCUAGGGGGAAGAGAUUCUUACCAAACCUAAUAAAACUCCGAAUGCUAGACAUUGUUCUUCAACAGACAGACUGUGGGUGCUAAGGUCCAUGGUCGAGAGGGAAAGAGCCCAGACCACCAGAUAAGGUCCCAAAAUUAUGAUUAAGUGUGAAAGGAUGUGGAAAUUCCUUAACAGCCGGGAGGUUGGCUUAGAAGCAGCCAUCCUUUAAAGAUAGCGUAACAGCUCACCGGUCUAAUAGAGUUUCUGCGCCGAAGAUGUAACGGGGCUAAAAUCAUAUACCGAAUCUGUGGGUUUAUAAAACUUUCGAGUUUUAUAAGCGGUAGCGGAACGUUCUGUAAGCCUGUGAAGGGAUACCCGUGAGGGAUUCUGGAGGUAUCAGAAGUGCGAAUGCUGACAUAAGUAACGAUAAAAGAAGUGAAAAACUUCUUCGCCGAAAAUCUAAGGGUUUCUGCGCAAGGUUAAUCCGCGCAGAGUUAGUCGGCACCUAAGGCGAGGGCGAAAGCCGUAGUCGAUGGAAACAAGGUUAAUAUUCCUUGACCUGGUGGUAGUGACGGAUUCCGUAAGUUGUGAGUUCUUAAUGGAUUGAACUUGCCGCGAAGGGGUCCCAAGAAAUAGCUCCAUCAUUAAGACCGUACCCGAAACCGACACAGGUAGAUUAAUAGAGUAUAUUUAGGCGCUUGAGAGAAUGAUGUUGAAGGAACUCGGCAAAAUGCUUCCGUAACUUCGGGAUAAGGAAGACCUGUUUGUAGGCAACUAUAGGAGGGUGGCACAAGCCAGGGAGAAGCGACUGUUUAUCAAAAACACAGGGCUCUGCUAACACGUAAGUGGAUGUAUAGGGUCUGACGCCUGCCCGGUGCUGGAAGGUUAAUGCGGUUGGUGCAAGCUAACUUCUGAAGCCCCAGUAAACGGCGGCCGUAACUAUAACGGUCCUAAGGUAGCGAAAUUCCUUGUCGGGUAAGUUCCGACCUGCAUGAAUGGCGUAACGAUUUCUCCGCUGUCUCCAACAUCAACUCAGUGAAAUUGAAUUCUCCGUGAAGAUGCGGAGUUCGCGUAGUUAGACGGAAAGACCCCGUGCACCUUUACUGCAACUUUACAUUGGUAUUAGGAAAAACAUAUUUAGUAUAGGAGGGAGACAUUGAAGCAGAAGCGUCAGCUUUUGUGGAGUCACCAGUGAAAUACCUCUUUUGUUUUUCUUGAUAUCUAACCGAUUGCCGUCAUCCGGCAUCGAGACAUUGUAUGGUGGGUAGUUUGACUGGGGCGGUCGCCUCCCAAAUAGUAACGGAGGCGUGCGAAGGUAGGCUCAGAACGGUCAGAAAUCGUUCGUAGAGUGCAAUGGCAUAAGCCUGCCUGACUGUGAGACUGACAAGUCGAGCAGAGACGAAAGUCGGUCAUAGUGAUCCGGUGGUUCUGAGUGGAAGGGCCAUCGCUCAACGGAUAAAAGGUACGCC